This 1465-nucleotide ribosomal RNA is filed under the name Lactiplantibacillus plantarum. RNAcentral's name for it is "bacterial SSU rRNA". It matches the Rfam family "Bacterial small subunit ribosomal RNA". The record is from RNAcentral. Lineage: Bacteria; Bacillati; Bacillota; Bacilli; Lactobacillales; Lactobacillaceae.
UGCAAGUCGAACGAACUCUGGUAUUGAUUGGUGCUUGCAUCAUGAUUUACAUUUGAGUGAGUGGCGAACUGGUGAGUAACACGUGGGAAACCUGCCCAGAAGCGGGGGAUAACACCUGGAAACAGAUGCUAAUACCGCAUAACAACUUGGACCGCAUGGUCCGAGCUUGAAAGAUGGCUUCGGCUAUCACUUUUGGAUGGUCCCGCGGCGUAUUAGCUAGAUGGUGGGGUAACGGCUCACCAUGGCAAUGAUACGUAGCCGACCUGAGAGGGUAAUCGGCCACAUUGGGACUGAGACACGGCCCAAACUCCUACGGGAGGCAGCAGUAGGGAAUCUUCCACAAUGGACGAAAGUCUGAUGGAGCAACGCCGCGUGAGUGAAGAAGGGUUUCGGCUCGUAAAACUCUGUUGUUAAAGAAGAACAUAUCUGAGAGUAACUGUUCAGGUAUUGACGGUAUUUAACCAGAAAGCCACGGCUAACUACGUGCCAGCAGCCGCGGUAAUACGUAGGUGGCAAGCGUUGUCCGGAUUUAUUGGGCGUAAAGCGAGCGCAGGCGGUUUUUUAAGUCUGAUGUGAAAGCCUUCGGCUCAACCGAAGAAGUGCAUCGGAAACUGGGAAACUUGAGUGCAGAAGAGGACAGUGGAACUCCAUGUGUAGCGGUGAAAUGCGUAGAUAUAUGGAAGAACACCAGUGGCGAAGGCGGCUGUCUGGUCUGUAACUGACGCUGAGGCUCGAAAGUAUGGGUAGCAAACAGGAUUAGAUACCCUGGUAGUCCAUACCGUAAACGAUGAAUGCUAAGUGUUGGAGGGUUUCCGCCCUUCAGUGCUGCAGCUAACGCAUUAAGCAUUCCGCCUGGGGAGUACGGCCGCAAGGCUGAAACUCAAAGGAAUUGACGGGGGCCCGCACAAGCGGUGGAGCAUGUGGUUUAAUUCGAAGCUACGCGAAGAACCUUACCAGGUCUUGACAUACUAUGCAAAUCUAAGAGAUUAGACGUUCCCUUCGGGGACAUGGAUACAGGUGGUGCAUGGUUGUCGUCAGCUCGUGUCGUGAGAUGUUGGGUUAAGUCCCGCAACGAGCGCAACCCUUAUUAUCAGUUGCCAGCAUUAAGUUGGGCACUCUGGUGAGACUGCCGGUGACAAACCGGAGGAAGGUGGGGAUGACGUCAAAUCAUCAUGCCCCUUAUGACCUGGGCUACACACGUGCUACAAUGGAUGGUACAACGAGUUGCGAACUCGCGAGAGUAAGCUAAUCUCUUAAAGCCAUUCUCAGUUCGGAUUGUAGGCUGCAACUCGCCUACAUGAAGUCGGAAUCGCUAGUAAUCGCGGAUCAGCAUGCCGCGGUGAAUACGUUCCCGGGCCUUGUACACACCGCCCGUCACACCAUGAGAGUUUGUAACACCCAAAGUCGGUGGGGUAACCUUUUAGGAACCAGCCGCCUAAGGUGGGACAGAUGAUUAGGGUGAAGU